CCUACGUGAGGCUGCAGUGAGGAAUAUUGGUCAAUGGCCGGAAGGCUGAACCAGCCAUGCCGCGUGAAGGUCAGUGCCCUAUGGGCGUUAAACUUCUUUUGUGCGGGAGCAAUAAUGGUCACGUGUGGCCAGACGAGAGUACCGUACGAAUAAGAAUCGGCUACCUCCGUGCCAGCAGCCGCGGUAAUACGGGGGAUGCAAGCGUUAUCCGGAUUUAUUGGGUUUAAAGGGUGCUUAGGCUGUGAGGUAAGUCAGCGGUGAAAUGCCCCCGCUCAACGGGGUGAAGUGCCAUUGAUACUGCCUUGCUGGAAUGCGGAUGCCGUGGGAGGAAUGUGUGGUGUAGCGGUGAAAUGCAUAGAUAUCACACAGAACACCGAUUGCGAAGGCAUCUCACGAAUCCGCGAUUGACGCUGAUGCACGAAAGCGUGGGUAUCAAACAGGAUUAGAUACCCCAGUAGUC
This 460-nucleotide ribosomal RNA is filed under the name uncultured bacterium. RNAcentral's name for it is "partial 16S ribosomal RNA". It matches the Rfam family "Bacterial small subunit ribosomal RNA", at positions 338 to 795 of the family's 1533-position model. The record is from RNAcentral.